ACCGUUAAGAAGAAGUGUUAUGUAUGCGAUUAUUCCAUUUUAUCUUUUAUUUUCAUAAUUAAUUUAUUAAUUAAAUAAUUAAAAAUAUAAUAUGAAUUAUAUUAUUAUUUCUCCCUUCCUCACACCCCUCAUUCACCUCCACCCUAGAAUCACAUCAACGCCUCCUGUAGAGGAGGCGACGUCUUCGAUCAGCCCUUCCAUGGUGGCGACGGCGACGGCAACGGCGAUGGCGACGCGCCCGCCACACCGAGCGGCAACGGCCAUAGCCUCUCCAUGUCGUGACUCUCCUCCCUUCAGCCAUAAACCCCGCGCCACCAGGUGCGGCGAUUCGUGCUGCCUGCCACGACGUGCCCCUAUCUCGUCGCCCUGGUCCUCGUCGCUACCCUAGGCUUCGCGAUCUGCGCCGCAUCCCCCAUCUCGCCGCCCCUAUUGUCUGGUAACCCUAGCCGCACCGCCUGGUCCCCCUCGCACUGCCUGCUUUCCUCCCUGUUCUCAUUUUCUCUAUCCUUGUCGCAUCUCCGAUCGAUUCAUGCUCCAGAUGCUUGGAAUCUGGUGUUCUGCAGCUCUGACUCUUCUCUAACGAGGUUGAGCAAGACUCCGUGCAAUCACCGGAGGCAUCUGCUGCUAAAACAACCUUGGAAAAUAUGACACCAACUGAACUUGGAAGUUCAGGGGCUUGAAGUUCUGAUGCAGCCUUCUUUUGGAAGUCUUUUUUGUAGUUUCUUCCUAUGGUCCACAUGUUUUCAAGUUUCUCUUCUCUCUCUCUCUCUCUCUCAAUAAUAUUGAUGGAUAUAUUUAUGUAGAUUGUGGCAGGAUGAAGAGAGUAGAGUAUAUUUAGUUAAAGAGCUGGAUAAGAGAAUGGUUUGGUGAAUUUCACAUUCUGAAUUUCACAUUCUAUAUAUAAAUAUAUAUCUCAAAUUUGCCUACUUUUUCUGGUUAAGAUGGAAGAAUUUCACAGACUGACUGGGUGAUGGCAUCUUUGUGUGUAUUAUGUCAGGGAAAGUCUUCAAUUUCUGUAGAUGAUAACAUCAUUCUUGCAAUUCAUUUCUUAUUUCUUGAUUUUUCACUUGUAUAUUUUCACGAUUUUCUCAAUGAUUUGAACUUUUCAUGGAUUUUCGAGUCAAUCUUGACUUUGAUUUCCUUUCUUUCUUGUAUUUCCAUUGCUAUUUCACCCCCCAUUUAUCUCUCUCUCACUCAUUUUUGUUGUGGUUUGAAGAGGGGAAAACUAAUUGCUAAUCUUUUCUAUUAAUAAUCCAGCGAUAUGAUUAACAUAUGCUUUGGUUUGAGAUUAAAUUUCUUUAAAUCUGAACCCAGUAGUCAAUUCUUGAGGAUUUUCUUAUCUUCCUUAUUAUUCUAAACUGAUUAAUGUCGAUUAAAGCUUCGUUCAGCAACGUGGCAAAUGUGCUGCUGGACUGGGAUGAGGUGCACAAUGAAGAUUUCUGUUCAUCGAGAGGUGUAUCUUGUGGAAAUCUCACCAUGUCUGUUGUUGCUCUGAAUCUCUCAAAUCUCAACUUGGGUGGAGAAAUCUCACCUGCCAUUGGAGAUUUGAGGAACCUUGAGUCUGCGUUUGUGGUGGAUUAAAUGAGUCGUACGUUGAGCUGAAGAGGCUUGUGAAUUCACAAGAAAAGUUGUACCAUAUGGCUAGCUAGUUGCAUAUUUAAUAUGUUUAGUAUUUUUGUAAGGCAUAAUAGUAUAGAUAGAGCAGUUGUUGAAUUUUGACUAUAUUCAAAUCUUGUAUGAAUUCUUUUUUAUGAUAAUAAUAUAAAAUUAAAUA
This is a long non-coding RNA of Salvia miltiorrhiza (redroot sage), 1774 nucleotides long. RefSeq lists it as uncharacterized. The record is from RefSeq and is a predicted model, not a curated record. The transcript has 5 exons. Lineage: Eukaryota; Viridiplantae; Streptophyta; Magnoliopsida; Lamiales; Lamiaceae.